GGCAUGAUGGCCGAGCGGUCUAAGGCGACGCACUCAAGCACUUGCUUGUCCUUCAUUGGACUGAUUUGCGUUGGGAUUUAUCCCGCGUGAGUUCAAAUCUCACUCAUGUCA
RNAcentral lists this transfer RNA (111 nucleotides) under Rhizoctonia solani AG-8 WAC10335. It matches the Rfam family "tRNA". From Rfam's summary of the family: Transfer RNA (tRNA) molecules are approximately 80 nucleotides in length. Lineage: Eukaryota; Fungi; Basidiomycota; Agaricomycetes; Cantharellales; Ceratobasidiaceae. The record is from Rfam by way of RNAcentral.